GCAGCUCGAGUGGCAAGUGUCAGCGCCUCAGCUUUGAGGAGGCCCGCGCGCCGUGGAUAGAAGAGCCAACGUGAACUGUGAGAUAUUGUCACCUGAUCCGUUACUUACUUCCUGGACGGUCUGAAAAACAACUUUUGAUUCUUUUUCAGAACUGUAAUGAAUGUGUACUGUGCUUUAAGAAGAUGAACUCCAUUCUUUAUUUUGACAAAUGCCUCUCAAGUAUAAUAACGCCAUUUGUAUAACUUACAUUUAAGAGAUGUCACACAGUAAUGACAUGUAUGUAUUGAUCAAUAGAGACCUCCAUCAGGGCGGGCCGAUCCACUUUCUGCAGGUGAGAAAAGUGUGAUGCUCAGUAAGGAUAUAAAGCAAACUGAGAACUA
Pteropus alecto (black flying fox) is the source of this 380-nucleotide long non-coding RNA. RefSeq lists it as uncharacterized. The record is from RefSeq and is a predicted model, not a curated record. Lineage: Eukaryota; Metazoa; Chordata; Mammalia; Chiroptera; Pteropodidae. The transcript has 2 exons.